CCUACGGGUGGCAGCAGUGAGGAAUAUUGGUCAAUGGACGAGAGUCUGAACCAGCCAAGUAGCGUGAAGGAUGACUGCCCUAUGGGUUGUAAACUUCUUUUAUAUGGGAAUAAAAUGUUCCACGUGUGGGAUUUUGUAUGUACCAUAUGAAUAAGGAUCGGCUAACUCCGUGCCAGCAGCCGCGGUAAUACGGAGGAUCCGAGCGUUAUCCGGAUUUAUUGGGUUUAAAGGGUGCGUAGGUGGGUUGUUAAGUCAGUUGUGAAAGUUUGCGGCUCAACCGUAAAAUUGCAGUUGAAACUGGCAGUCUUGAGUACAGUAGAGGUGAGCGGAAUGCGUGGUGUAGCGGUGAAAUGCUUAGAUAUCACGAAGAACUCCGAUUGCGAAGGCAGUUCACUGGACUGUAACUGACACUGAGGCUCGAAAGUGUGGGUAUCAAACAGGAUUAGAUACCCUUGUAGUC
RNAcentral lists this ribosomal RNA (460 nucleotides) under uncultured bacterium. RNAcentral's name for it is "partial 16S ribosomal RNA". It matches the Rfam family "Bacterial small subunit ribosomal RNA", at positions 338 to 795 of the family's 1533-position model. The record is from RNAcentral.